AAGUCGUAACAAGGUUUCCGUUGGUGAACCAGCGGAAGGAUCAUUACAGAGAUCAUGCCCUCGCGGGUAGACCUCCCACCCUGUGUUAUUUACCUUUGUUGCCUCGGCAGGCCGCCCCUUGGGGCCCUUGGCUACGGCUGAGGAGCGCCUGCCAGAAGACCCCAACCCUGUGUUUACCUGUCGUCUGAGCACUAUCUAAUACGAUAAAACUUUCAACAACGGAUCUCUUGGUUCUGGCAUCGAUGAAGAACGCAGCGAAAUGCGAUAAGUAAUGUGAAUUGCAGAAUUCAGUGAAUCAUCGAAUCUUUGAACGCACAUUGCGCCCCUCGGCAUUCCGGGGGGCAUGCCUGUCCGAGCGUCAUUUCAACCCUCAAGCUUCGCUUGGUCUUGGGCCCUGCCGGCAGCGGCUGGCCCUAAAAGCAGUGGCGGUGCCCGUCGAGCUCUACGCGUAGUAAUCAACCCCUCGCUUCUGAGCCGCGGCGGACGCCUGCCAGCAACCCCCCAAUUUCUAUGGUUGACCUCGGAUCAGGUAGGGAUACCCGCUGAACUUAAGCAUAUCAAUAAGCGGAGGAAAAGAAACCAACCGGGAUUACCUCAGUAACGGCGAGUGAAGCGGUAACAGCUCAAAUUUGAAAUCUGGCUCUUGCAGGGCCGAGUUGUAAUUUGCAGAAGAUGCUUCGGGCGUGGCUCCGGUCUAAGUUCCUUGGAACAGGACGUCGUAGAGGGUGAGAAUCCCGUAUGUGACUGGCUGCCGCCGCCCGUGUGAAGCUCUUUCGACGAGUCGAGUUGUUUGGGAAUGCAGCUCAAAAUGGGUGGUAAAUUUCAUCUAAAGCUAAAUAUUGGCCAGAGACCGAUAGCGCACAAGUAGAGUGAUCGAAAGAUGAAAAGCACUUUGGAAAGAGAGUUAAACAGUACGUGAAAUUGUUGAAAGGGAAGCGCUUGCAAUCAGACUUGCGCGCUGCCGAUCAUCCGGGGUUCUCUCCGGUGCACUCGGUUGCGCUCAGGCCAGCAUCGGUUUAGGUGGCUGGACAAAGGCCGCGGGAAUGUAGCUCCUCUCGGGGAGUGUUAUAGCCUGCGGCGCAAUGCAGCCUACCUGGACCGAGGACCGCGCUUCGGCUAGGAUGCUGGCGUAAUGGUUGUAAGCGAC
Molecule: ribosomal RNA, 1147 nt
Filed under: uncultured fungus
Lineage: Eukaryota; Fungi
Description: eukaryotic LSU rRNA
Rfam family: Eukaryotic large subunit ribosomal RNA (bases 516-1147)
Source: RNAcentral